RNAcentral lists this ribosomal RNA (119 nucleotides) under Carlito syrichta (Philippine tarsier). The record is from RNAcentral. Lineage: Eukaryota; Metazoa; Chordata; Mammalia; Primates; Tarsiidae.
GUCUACUGCCAUACUACCCUGAAUGCACAUGAUCUCAUCUGAUCCUGGAAGCUAAGCAGGGUUGAGCCUGUUUAGUACUUAGAUAGGAGACCAUCUGGGAAUCCUGGGAGUUGCAGGCU